Molecule: long non-coding RNA, 556 nt
Organism: Phyllopteryx taeniolatus (common seadragon)
Lineage: Eukaryota; Metazoa; Chordata; Actinopteri; Syngnathiformes; Syngnathidae
Exons: 4
Source: RefSeq, a predicted model, not a curated record
UUGUUGUGAUGUGAAGUGUGUUACGUUUACUGUCACCAUCAAGCGCUCACAUCUCCAAUUUUUGCUCGCAAAUCAAAGCAAAAAUUUGGCCGAAUGACUGCUCCUAUCUAAAAAUCUCAGAAGUCGGGGCACUUGUAAGUCAAGGUCAAAUCAAACCAAAAAAACUGACACAAAGAAAAUUGGAUAAGACAUACUCUGCUGCUGUUUUUUUUAGCCCUGCCCCCCACCCUGUGGCAGCGACACAAAGGGGGGGGCAAGAUAAGUGGAGUAAAACGUAUGCAUAGCAUAAACCACUGUGCCCUUAAUCCAAGAGAAAAGGCCGAGAUAAACCCAGCAUGAAUCACAAGGUCAGAAGGCCUCGCUUGUGAAGGGAACACCACAAAGUGGGCGAGCUGCUGCAGAUGAGGAAAUACGCUGCAAAAAUUGGGCUUAAAGAAGAAAAGUUUUUGCAGUGCAGGUAGCUGACACAACAAAGGUGUUUGCACUCAGCUGAGUGCUAGAGCAGCGGCCGUGAGCAACAAGAGGGCGUGCGGGGAAUAAAACACUUCUGACACGG